AUUGAACGCUGGCGGCGGGCUUAACACAUGCAAGUCGAGCGGGGUGAUGGUGCUUGCACUAUCACUUAGCGGCGGACGGGUGAGUAAUGCUUAGGAAUCUGCCUAUUAGUGGGGGACAACAUCUCGAAAGGGAUGCUAAUACCGCAUACGUCCUACGGGAGAAAGCAGGGGAUCACUUGUGACCUUGCGCUAAUAGAUGAGCCUAAGUCGGAUUAGCUAGUUGGUGGGGUAAAGGCCUACCAAGGCGACGAUCUGUAGCGGGUCUGAGAGGAGGAUCCGCCACACUGGGACUGAGACACGGCCCAGACUCCUACGGGAGGCAGCAGUGGGGAAUAUUGGACAACGGGGGGAACCCUGAUCCAGCCAUGCCGCGUGUGUGAAGAAGGCCUUAUGGUUGUAAAGCACUUUAAGCGAGGAGGAGGCUCUUUUGGUUAAUACCCAAGAUGAGUGGACGUUACUCGCAGAAUAAGCACCGGCUAACUCUGUGCCAGCCGCCGCAGUAA
This 503-nucleotide ribosomal RNA is filed under the name uncultured bacterium. RNAcentral's name for it is "partial 16S ribosomal RNA". It matches the Rfam family "Bacterial small subunit ribosomal RNA", at positions 30 to 523 of the family's 1533-position model. The record is from RNAcentral.